This 6030-nucleotide long non-coding RNA is filed under the name Arabidopsis lyrata. Its description in RNAcentral is "long non-coding RNA (ALYR_LNC001478)". Lineage: Eukaryota; Viridiplantae; Streptophyta; Magnoliopsida; Brassicales; Brassicaceae. The record is from RNAcentral.
CGCCUUAGCUUUCUCGUGACCGAGUCGUCUUCGUCUUCUCUUUCCUAUAAAUGAAUACCCAAAGACCUCAUCUUCUUCACAAUUCAGAUUCCAAAUUUCUCAAACAAUCUAAAAUCAUUCUCUCAAAUCUCUCAACCGUGAUCAAGGUAGAUUUCUGGGUUCCUUUUCAGUUUCUUCGUAUUGUUUCGUUCGAUCGUGAUUGAGUUUCUGUUCUUUGAAUUUCAUUCGGUUAAUCUUAAAAGUUCUGAGUUUCUUCGUUAGAUCUCAUCUUAAUUCUCGAUUAGGGUUCGUUGUUUUCGUUGAUCUGUUUAUUUUCUCGUCGAUUCUUUGAAUUUGAUCCGAUUUUUUCAACGAAUUUGAGUUUUAUCUUUGAGAUCUAUCCAGAUCUGGUAUUAGUUUCUUGAUCGGAUUUGAUUCUUAUUUGUGCGAUCGGAUUUGUCGACUAAUCUCAAUUUUUUUCUGAAAUACAGAUGCAGAUCUUCGUUAAAACUCUCACCGGAAAGACUAUCACCCUUGAGGUGGAAAGCUCUGACACCAUCGACAACGUUAAAGCCAAGAUCCAGGACAAGGAAGGCAUUCCUCCGGAUCAGCAGAGGCUUAUUUUCGCCGGAAAGCAGUUGGAGGAUGGCCGUACGUUGGCUGAUUACAACAUCCAGAAGGAAUCCACCCUCCACUUGGUUCUCAGGCUCCGUGGUGGUAUGCAGAUUUUCGUCAAGACCCUAACGGGAAAGACGAUUACUCUUGAGGUGGAGAGUUCUGACACUAUCGACAACGUGAAGGCCAAGAUCCAGGAUAAGGAAGGUGGAGAGCUCCGACACCAUUGACAACGUGAAGGCCAAGAUCCAGGAUAAGGAAGGUAUCCCUCCGGACCAGCAGAGGUUGAUCUUCGCCGGAAAACAGUUGGAGGAUGGUCGUACCUUGGCGGAUUACAACAUCCAGAAGGAGUCGACCCUUCACUUGGUGUUGCGUCUCCGUGGAGGUAUGCAGAUCUUCGUCAAGACUUUGACCGGAAAGACCAUCACCCUUGAAGUGGAGAGCUCCGACACCAUUGACAACGUGAAGGCUAAGAUCCAGGACAAGGAAGGUAUCCCUUUGGACCAGCAGCGUCUCAUCUUCGCUGGAAAGCAGCUUGAGGAUGGUCGCACUUUGGCCGAUUACAACAUCCAGAAAGAGUCUACUCUUCACUUGGUCCUCCGUCUCCGUGGUGGUUUUUAAAACUCGUCUCUGUUAUGGUUUAAGAAGUUUAUGCCUCGUUUCUUUUAAAACUUUGGUGGUUUGUGUUUCUGGGGCCUUGUAAAGCUCCUGAUAAAUAAUUGAUGAACUAUGUUUUCGAUCCGUUAAUCUCCUCUUUCUUCCUAAUGACAAAUCGAACUAAUUUUCAAUUGCAAUUAUGUCCUUGGAUUCACUUCUAUCAUCGUUAUCUCUCUACACGAUGUGCUAUCUUCUUAGUAUGCACUAUCCGAAAUAUAACCGUUAAAAGCACAACAGAAUUAGUCAUAGGGCCUUGGUUAGCUAGGCGUCAGCAUACCCAAUCUGCAAUUUAGAAAGAAAGAUUACAGUCUAACAAUCCCAUGAGAUCUAAUCAAAACUGACACAUUUACACAUGACAUACUUAAAUGACUUCAAAAACAAAGAAUGAUAUCAUACAAGUCCAAAUAGAGAGUUUAGGACUUGGUCUGCAGAGAACAGGGAAAGGAGGUUUCUCGUUUCCUGCAUCGUUCAUAACUUUGGCUUGGAACUCAUCAAGAGGUCCAUUGGGAAUUUAGGAUACUCUCGAGCCGGGAAAAGGGGAUUUUCAUACCCGUACUAUCUAUACCGUGGAUUUUUAUACCUGGACAAUUUCGUAGUGUAUUUUACAACCUAAACUUCAAUAAAAUUUGAAUUUCAUACCUAUACUUGAUACAACGUGCAAAAAUCGGAGUCAAUCUAACGAGUGUUAGUCAACUCCGUUACAGUGCUGAGUCAUCGUACACGUGUACGCUGACAUGUAUGAAAACGACGUCGUUUUCAUACCCGUACUGUCUGUGCCGUGGAUUUUCAUACCUAGACAAUUUUGUAGGGUAUUUUACAACCUAAACUUCAAUAAAAUUUGAAUCUCAUACCCUAUACUUGAUACAACGUGUAAAAAUCGGAGUCAAUCUAACGGGUGUUAGUCAACUCCGUUACGGUGCGUAUCGAAACGUCGUCGUUUUCUCAUUUCUUCUUCUUCUUCUCACAAAUUAGGCAUGAACAAAGUUUUACCAUGUGACUACGGCUUCGCACAACUUUUAGGGUUUAUAAGUUAAAAAGAUUGAGGAAUACUCGAUGAACGUUGUGGAUCAGUUGUAUUCGGUGCUUCCCAUGUGACUACGGCUCGCGGGUUCGAGUCCCCACUUUUGCAAUUUAUUUCUACUUCGUGAACACAUAUCAAAAUGAGGUCGGUUCGAUGCGCACCGUGACGGAAGAGACUAACGCCCGUUAGAUUGAUUACAAUUUUUACACGUUGUAUCAAGUAUAGGGUAAGAGAUUCAAAUUUUAUUGAAGUUUAGGACGUAAAAUACCCUACAAAAUUGUCUAGGUAUGAAAAUCCACGGCACAGACAGUACGGGUAUGAAAACGACGUCGUUUUGAUACAUGACAACGUACACGUGUACGAUGACUCAGCACCGUAACGGAGUUGACUAACACUCGUUAGAUUGACUCCGAUUUUUGCACGUUGUAUCAAGUAUAGGUAUGAAAUUCAAAUUUUAUUGAAGUUUAGGUUGUAAAAUACCCUACGAAAUUGUCCAGGUAUAAAAAUCCACGGUACAGAUAGUACGGGUAUGAAAAUCCCCUUUUCCCCUCUCGAGCCAUAAACGUUAUAUAAUAAGAAUUCCAUCUAGAAUUCAAUAACUCUCACAAUCUCUACCAAUUCCACAGUCUUUCCCUAGGAAAGAAUAAAAAAUAAAACCCAAAAUUGAACGACUCCAAAAUGAAAAACUCAACAUCAACCAAAUCACUAACCUUCCCAUCGUUUAAUUUCUUAACAUACAAGUUAGCAAGAUUUGUCAUCAACUCCCGAGCAGUUCAUGUUCCGAUACGCUAUUUCUUCAACAUCUUGGCUCGAUUCAGGAGCCAUGAUUAGAGGAGACCCUAAACUAGCUCUUAGAAAAACAAUUCGGGAAUUUCCAGGAACUGGAACUUACAGGAGUAGGUUGAGCUUUAUUAUUUUGUAAUGAAAUUAACACAUUAUUCCAACACCUUUAAACAAAAGAUCUUUUUCCAAACUGAGUUUGAUUCAAAUCAAAAAGUGUCAACAAAGGAAACACUUUUAAAUGAAUAUAAAUGCAUAGAGAGAUUCUGGAGAAGAAAGUAGACGACGGAAUCAACACAUGUGAGAAUUCGAGACGGAUCGUGUUGUUUCCUAUCAAACGAAAUCCAUAAUCAUAACAUUCACAAGCCCAACAAAAAAAAACAUUUUAAUAAUUCCGGCCCAAGCCCAAUCACACAAGUAGUUAAGCUGAGUUUAGGUCUUCACUAUUUAAAGCUCGUAAACCCUAGACUUGGAUAUUCUUCAGUCCAGCCGCAAGAAGAAGAAGAAGAAGCGUGAGUUUUCGUUCCUCUCUUCUUUUCGUUUCUCUCUGAUUCUCUUCGCUGCGAUCUCGUUUGAGUAUUAUUAGAUUUCUUGUGAGUUUUCUCUCAUCGUGUGUUCUGCUGCUAGCUCCUGGAAAUAUUCUAAGUUCGUUGUUUUGUUCAUUUUGAGGUUUAGAGUCCUUUGAUUUGUUGUUUGUUCUGCUGUAGAUAUUUAUCCUUGGAAUGAGUAAGAUUAGAGUUUCAGUGAUGAAGCUUUUCGUUUAUUUGAUUGAUGUCCUUACUGAUUACGACUGUAAAUGAUAUUUUGAUGCCUUUUUCCACCGUAAAUUGUAGACAAACCCUAGAAACUUGGAUUCUUCUGAGAGUUUGAAAUUUGACAGAGCAGUGAGAUAAACCAGUUGGAUGAUUUUUAUUAAACUCAUCCAAGAAAUGAUCCUAAUCCAGCUGAGUCUGAUCGGAGCAGUUAACUGGAGCUGCUUCAGUCUAAAAUAGAAAAGGACCUAAAUACCCCUAUCAAAUUUAGAGAAUUACACCAAAACCUAAACCUUCUUCUCCUUCUUCUCCUCAUCCUCGACACAUAACAUUCCUUUGGCCAUCUCUGUAGAGAAGAGAAACGAGAUCUCUUCUUCGCCGGAUCUCUUCGUCGCAUGAUCUCCUCCGCCGGAUCUCUCACCGGAAUCCACUCCUCUUUGAUCUUCUCACCCCACUCCACUCCUCUUUGAUCUCUUCGCCGGAUCUCUUCUUCUCUCUCUCGUGCGUGGGUUUAAGGUGUUACAGAUUGAAUUAGCUGCGACCACUGUUUGAGAGGUAAGACUCAUGGGUUUGAUUAUUGGAUUCGAUUUCUCUUUUAGUCAUUGAAAUUUCGAAGUGGGUUUCAGGUGUUACCGAUUGAAAUCGCUGCAACCACUGUUUGAGAGGUAUGAUAUAUCUCUAUUUCAUGAUUUUGUAUUGAGUUUAUGUGUACCAAUGGAGAUGAGUGUUGUGGCUUUGUUUGAUUUCGUGUUUCUAAUGCUUAUAGGCUAUGUUUAGUGUGGAGGUUGCUGCUACUAUGUUUAGUUUCAUAGUAAAAGAGAAGUUACCAGAGAGUUACAAUGGUUCUGAAUAAACCAUAAACCAUAUAGGGAGAAGAACAAUAGUUUCUACUGUUUUGAGUGAUUUUACAAUGGUUUUGAUAUGUUGCUUACAUUCAAUGAGUGUCUUUCAAUGUCUCUUAUGAAGUAGUUUUUUUCUAUGUGUCAAUGUUUCAAGGUUUAUUUUGUGUUUAUUUCUUUCUUUACUCAAUGAGUGUCUUUCAAUGUCUCUUAUGAAUCCAAAGAAAGCUGUCUCUAUUUCUUUCUUUGACUUUCAAUCGCAAGUAUGUGUCAGCGUCUAUGUUUCUGGUUUUAGCUCAUUAAGGCACAAUAAUUGACUAUCUAAUUAGUCUUCUACCAUCAAAUUUCUUGAAGACCACAGAGAGCUUUGCAAUGAAUUUUAGAUUGGUGUUUGCAUGUUUACUAUUGUAUAUUUGUACUAUUACUCUAUGGUUUAGACUUUAGAAAUCGUUUCUGGAAGAACAUUGGUUUGGUUUUCUGGUUAUGACUUUUCUUGUGGUUCCCAGUUUUGAUGGAAUUGUUUGCUUGUUUUGUAUAGCUGUAAUGCUUUUUAUGGAUAUUAAAAAUGUAUGUUUCCCUUUUUAGAUUCAUGUUUUGGAGCUAGAGAUUUUUAAUGGAUGAACAGAGAGUUAAUUAGUUCUACAUUUGCUUAUAUAGAUGCUAUCUUUUUGGUAAUAAAUGUCAAAUAUAAUAAUUUGAAAUUUGUUUGGUUGUAAAUAUAUAUAUUUGAUCAAUAAUUAAAAUUAAUAUGGUUAAGAUUAAGACUUAAAAUAUAAUUAGAUGAAAACAUGGGCAUUUUAGUCAUUUUUCUAAUCAAAAGCAUCUAGAUGAGAAUGGUUUUCAACCAAACAAACAAAGUUUUAACCAAAAGCAGUUAGAUGGAUCAUCCAGAUGAACCACCAAAAAUGAAAACGAAAAUCAUUCAGAUGGAUUAGCCAGAUAGAUCAUUUGGAUGGAGCAUUUGGAUGCAUAUCCCAAAUGAGCAAACGAACAACACCAUCCAUGAAAUAUUACUAGAUUCGUAUCUGUUUUACUUUAUUUAUGUUAGCUAUAGCAUCGGGAUGGUCUUUUGUUUUGCUGCGAUCUCGUUUGAGUUUUCUCUCAUCGUGACCGACGUCGUCUUCGUCUUCUCUUGUAUAUAAAUGAAUACCCAAAGACCUCAUCUUCUUCACAAUUCAGAUUCCAAAUUUCUCAAACAAUCUAAAAUCAUUCUCUCAAAUCUCUCAACCGUGAUCAAGGUAGAUUUCUGGGUUCCUUUUCAGUUUCUUCGUAUUGUUUCGUUCGAUCGUGAUUGUUUCGUUCGAUCGUGAUUGUUUCGUUCGAUCGUGAUUGAGUUUCUGUUCUUUGAAUUUCAUUCGGUUAAUCUUUGAUCGGAGACAAAGUUCUG